RNAcentral lists this ribosomal RNA (49 nucleotides) under Venturia inaequalis. Its description in RNAcentral is "partial 18S ribosomal RNA". Lineage: Eukaryota; Fungi; Ascomycota; Dothideomycetes; Venturiales; Venturiaceae. The record is from RNAcentral.
GCGGGAAGUCGUACAAGGUACUCGGGGCACCAAACCGUUCCGUAGGUGA